RNAcentral lists this ribosomal RNA (817 nucleotides) under uncultured bacterium. RNAcentral's name for it is "bacterial SSU rRNA". It matches the Rfam family "Bacterial small subunit ribosomal RNA", at positions 8 to 829 of the family's 1533-position model. The record is from RNAcentral.
AGAGUUUGAUCCUGGCUCAGGACGAACGCUGGCGGCGUGCUUAACACAUGCAAGUCGAACGGAGACUAUAUGGAAAGCCUCGGCCGGAAGUAUAGUCUUAGUGGCGGACGGGUGAGUAACGCGUGAGCAACCUGCCUUUUACAGGGGGAUAACGCAUCGAAAGGUGCACUAAUACCGCAUAAGACCACACCGGGACAUCCCGGAGGGGUCAAAGGAGCAAUCCGGUAGAAGAUGGGCUCGCGUCUGAUUAGAUAGUUGGUGAGGUAACGGCCCACCAAGUCAACGAUCAGUAGCCGACCUGAGAGGGUGAUCGGCCACAUUGGAACUGAGACACGGUCCAAACUCCUACGGGAGGCAGCAGUGGAGAAUCUUGCACAAUGGGGGAAACCCUGAUGCAGCAACGCCGCGUGAAGGAUGAAGGCCCUUGGGUCGUAAACUUCUGUUCUAAGGGAAGAUAAUGACGGUACCUUAGGAGCAAGUCCCGGCUAACUACGUGCCAGCAGCCGCGGUAAUACGUAGGGGGCAAGCGUUAUCCGGAAUUAUUGGGCGUAAAGAGUACGUAGGUGGUUUCCUAAGCAUGGGGUUUAAGGCAACGGCUUAACCAUUGUUCGCCCCAUGAACUGGGUUACUUGAGUGCUAGAGGGGAAAGUGGAAUUCCUAGUGUAGCGGUGAAAUGCGUAGAUAUAUGAAGGAACACCAGUGGCGAAGGCGACUUACUAGCCAAUUACUGACGCUCAGUCACGAAAGCGUGGGGAGCAAAUAGGAUUAGAUACCCUAGUAGUCCACGCUGUAAACGUUGAGUACUAAGUGUUGGGGA